Molecule: unclassified non-coding RNA, 154 nt
Filed under: uncultured Ascomycota
Lineage: Eukaryota; Fungi; Ascomycota
Description: sequence contains ITS2
Source: RNAcentral
AGUCCACUUAAGCCACCUUGCUUAGUGUUGGGAGCCUACAUCUACGUAGCUCCUCAAAGACAGCGGCGGAGUCGUAUUAACCUCUGAGCUUAGUAAUUACUUUCUAGCUUGCGAGUGUAGUGCGUCCCCUGCCGUAAAACACCCAUCUUUUUAU